Molecule: ribosomal RNA, 254 nt
Filed under: uncultured bacterium
Lineage: Bacteria
Description: partial 16S ribosomal RNA
Rfam family: Bacterial small subunit ribosomal RNA
Source: RNAcentral
CACGUAGGGUGCGAGCGUUGUCCGGAAUUAUUGGGCGUAAAGAGCUCGUAGGCGGUGUGUCGCGUCGGCCGUGAAAACCUGCAGCUUAACUGUGGGCUUGCGGUCGAUACGGGCAUCACUGGAGUUCGGCAGGGGAGACUGGAAUUCCUGGUGUAGCGGUGAAAUGCGCAGAUAUCAGGAGGAACACCGGUGGCGAAGGCGGGUCUCUGGGCCGAUACUGACGCUGAGGAGCGAAAGCGUGGGUAGCAAACAGG